AAUCAUGUUUAAGAUUGACAGGUGUCCAAUAGCCAGCUUUUAUCUUACUCAGAUUGUUUGAAGAAACAAGAACAUUUAAAGGCUAGAAAACAUAAAGUACUCUGAUUCUUACGUGUUCAGUGAGUGCAAGGUUUGCUUCAAAAAAGGAUCUGAUUGUACCAAUAUCUUCCCAGUAAUCAUUGAAUAAGUAAGCCUGCAAAAUCAGGUGAAUAAUGUUUAGUCACCAUAGAGGUUGAAGUUAAGCUGUUUAGGAGACCAUAACCAGAAUAGUGAAUUGCCUUAUGAUGGAAGAAUGCUUAGUCACCAUAGAGGUUGAAGUUAAGCUGUUUAGGAGACCAUAACCAGAAUAGUGAAUUGCCUUAUGAUGGAAACAAGAAGAUUGGAUGUAGUAGUAAAUUUUUUGAACAAACAGAUCAAGGUCUUGUGUAAAUGCCAACCAGAAAUGAAGUGGUACAAACCUUGACACAGAAUUCUUUGGCAGAGGCAGGAAUAAUCUCUGAACCAAAGUCAUUUGCUGUCGGAAAACGCCAUCUAAAAGGAGACAAAAAGUAAGCAGUUAAUGAUCUUCUUUUACCUGACAUCUUCAGCAUGUUACUGUAGAUGAAGCAUGAAGAAACUCAAAUGUUGAUAUAAGAUUUUAAAUGGCCCCUUUCUGUUUUAUAAUACCCCUAUUAGCUGGAUGAAUAUUAUUUCUUGUUUUUUCUGGCCCUCUUUCUCCAAAAUUUCUAUCAUUUGCAUGUUGACCAUGACACCCUCUAAAAUAAGGUACUAUAGAAGAAGAAGCUCGUUACAUACCUUAAGAGAUUUAGGAGAAUCUCCUUCUUGAAGACGUAAACUCCCAUUGAAGCAAUGUAAGGUUUCUUUUUAGCCUCCUCUGGGGAUAAUCCCAGAACAGAUGUGUCUACUGCCUGAAGUACUUGUUGUCAAUUGAUUGCAGCAACUUAAAAUUUUUGAAGUAGGUUAAGCUCUGAGACUGUCAAAUUUUCGAGAAUUACCAUCGCCUUCAAGUCAUCUCCUUUUGGCUUUUCGCUGAAGGACAGGACCCGUCCUGUGUCAUCAAUUUUCAUCAAGCCAAAAUCUGAAGCACGUCUAUCAUGAAAACAUACAAGUGAUUCAGUAGAAGAAAUUAUGUUUUGUAGUGAUUAUCAAAGUAAUACUUGACAUAGCGCAUGCCAUUGCUGAGAGGAAGAAUAGCCUAUCUAGGUUUUUGAUUAUCCAUCUUAAACCACCUGUCGUCUAUUUGCAAGCUUGAUAUGGUAAUGUCUGCACCACUUUUCCUAUGACUCUGUCAAUAAGUGGAGAUAGAUUUUUUCACUUUUGAGUAAUAGACAAUCUUUCCAAAAAAAUGAUAUCAAGCAAGGUAUAUAUUAGUCUAUAGCCUUACCUGAACAAAGUCCAUGUAGUCCAUUCUAUACAAGUGAUCUCCAGAGAGAAUGAGCACAUCUUCUAUGUCCUUGCUUCUUUGAUCCUUCAGUUAUGAAAAUCAAUGUGAAUUUCAUUAACUGAUGUCUAUAUUUAAGCCAUAUGAUGAGAUAAUUGUGGUGAUGGUCAUAGCUGAGCGUGGAGAACAUAUUGCUUGUAUUUACAUGCUGUUAAGUUCUGGAUAAUUGUGGUGAUGGUCAUAGCUGAGCUUGGAGAACCUAUUGCUUGUAUUUACAUGCUGUUAAGUUCUGUAUUUUUCGCAUGUGAUUAAGUUUUCCUGGAAGUAAACUGACACAGGUCAGUUAACUUGGUCUGGCAUAUGUAAUGUUUUUCAUUGUGUAAGUUACUGCUGGACCUUGUUUGGUCUAAGGUUGAGUUGUGGUCAUCUACAACUGAAAUCUCCUGAUAUAACAUAUGAAUAUAUGCAUUUCGAUGCCUCUUCAGAUCAAUUGUUACAUAUUGAAGAAAAACAUGGGAGGAAGGGCAUGCUAAUGCAAACUGGUAUAUGAUAUAUGAGGAAGACAAAACUGUUGCAGUACAGGAAUCUGGAGUUAUUUUCACUAUUGAGAUGAACUCCGGAAAUUGCAAUGCAAUGUGACCAGGAGAUCAGAUACAAAGGAGAGUUGGU
Molecule: long non-coding RNA, 2050 nt
Filed under: Nicotiana benthamiana
Lineage: Eukaryota; Viridiplantae; Streptophyta; Magnoliopsida; Solanales; Solanaceae
Description: long non-coding RNA (NBEN_LNC040325)
Source: RNAcentral